UGACCUCUGACCUCAAAUCAGGUAGGACUACCCGCUGAACUUAAGCAUAUCAAUAAGCCGGAGGAA
RNAcentral lists this ribosomal RNA (66 nucleotides) under Ganoderma lucidum. RNAcentral's name for it is "partial 28S ribosomal RNA". The record is from RNAcentral. Lineage: Eukaryota; Fungi; Basidiomycota; Agaricomycetes; Polyporales; Polyporaceae.